Papiliotrema laurentii is the source of this 85-nucleotide non-coding RNA. The record is from the annotation of a GenBank genome assembly. NCBI's taxonomy places the organism in Eukaryota, Fungi, Basidiomycota, Tremellomycetes, Tremellales, Rhynchogastremaceae.
GGUUUUAUCGUAUAGUCGGUUAGUACAUCGGAUUCUGAUGCUAUGUCAAAUUCCGGUAACCUGAGUUCGAGUCUCAGUAAAACCU